RNAcentral lists this ribosomal RNA (253 nucleotides) under uncultured bacterium. Its description in RNAcentral is "partial 16S ribosomal RNA". It matches the Rfam family "Bacterial small subunit ribosomal RNA", at positions 524 to 776 of the family's 1533-position model. The record is from RNAcentral.
UACGAGGGGGGCAAGCGUUGUUCGGAAUUAUUGGGCGUAAAGGGCGCGUAGGCGGUGCGGUAAGUCACCUGUGAAAACUCUGGGCUCAACUCAGAGCCUGCAGGCGAAACUGCCGUGCUUGAGUGUGGGAGAGGUGCGUGGAAUUCCCGGUGUAGCGGUGAAAUGCGCAGAUAUCGGGAGGAACACCGGUGGCGAAGGCGGUUCUCUGGGCCUUACCUGACGCUGAGGCGCGAAGGCCAGGGGAGCAAACGGG